Molecule: ribosomal RNA, 485 nt
Filed under: uncultured bacterium
Lineage: Bacteria
Description: partial 16S ribosomal RNA
Rfam family: Bacterial small subunit ribosomal RNA
Source: RNAcentral
GACGAACGCUGGCGGCGUGCUUAACACAUGCAAGUCGAACGGGAUCCAAAGGCUUUUUGUUUUUGGUGAGAGUGGCGAACGGGUGAGUAACACGUGAGUAACCUGCCCCCUUCUUUUGGAUAACCGCAUGAAAGUGUGGCUAAUACAGGAUAUUCCAGGCUGGUCGCAUGAUUGGUUUGGGAAAUGGUUUGGUCUGGUGGGGGAUGGGCUCGCGGCCUAUCAGCUUGUUGGUGGGGUGAUGGCCUACCAAGGCGGUGACGGGUAGCCGGCCUGAGAGGGUGGGCGGUCACACUGGGACUGAGAUACGGCCCAGACUCCUACGGGAGGCAGCAGUGGGGGAUUUUGCACAAUGGGCGCAAGCCUGAUGCAGCGACGCCGCGUGAGGGAUGAAGGCCUUCGGGUUGUAAACCUCUUUCGCUGGGUUGAAAGGCCAUGCUUUGGGUGUGGUUGAUUUGAACUGGUAAAGAAAUACCGGCUAACUACGU